UGGGGAAUAUUGCACAAUGGGCGCAAGCCUGAUGCAGCCAUGCCGCGUGUGUGAAGAAGGCCUUCGGGUUGUAAAGCACUUUCAGCGAGGAGGAAGGUGGUGAGCUUAAUACGCUCAUCAAUUGACGUUACUCGCAGAAGAAGCACCGGCUAACUCCGUGCCAGCAGCCGCGGUAAUACGGAGGGUGCAAGCGUUAAUCGGAAUUACUGGGCGUAAAGCGCACGCAGGCGGUUUGUUAAGUCAGAUGUGAAAUCCCCGGGCUCAACCUGGGAAUUGCAUUUGAAACUGGCAAGCUAGAGUCUCGUAGAGGGGGGUAGAAUUCCAGGUGUAGCGGUGAAAUGCGUAGAGAUCUGGAGGAAUACCGGUGGCGAAGGCGGCCCCCUGGACGAAGACUGACGCUCAGGUGCGAAAGCGUGGGGCAGCAAACAGGAUUAGAUACCCUGGUAGUCCACGCUGUAAAACGAUGUCGAUUUGGAGGUUGUGCCCUUGAGGCGUGGCUUCCGGAGCUAACGCGUUAAAUCGACCGCCUGGGGAGUACGGCCGCAAGGUU
This 550-nucleotide ribosomal RNA is filed under the name uncultured bacterium. RNAcentral's name for it is "partial 16S ribosomal RNA". It matches the Rfam family "Bacterial small subunit ribosomal RNA", at positions 355 to 895 of the family's 1533-position model. The record is from RNAcentral.